Long non-coding RNA from Oncorhynchus keta (chum salmon), 313 nucleotides. RefSeq lists it as uncharacterized. Lineage: Eukaryota; Metazoa; Chordata; Actinopteri; Salmoniformes; Salmonidae. The record is from RefSeq and is a predicted model, not a curated record. The transcript has 3 exons.
UGCCAUUUGGGAUGCCAGCUGACAGAGAAAACAUUAUUAAAGAGAAACUCAGUUGAUGAGGAGCUCACAGAAGCCUGAAUACCGAGGAAGACAAGCAGCAACCAUUUUUAGGGAAUACCAAAACAGCAAUGGAACUUGGGGUGUUUCUCAUCAUAAUUUUCUCAGUAAUAGGCAGCCUGUGCUCUGUAACAAGCACAACCACAGAUCCUAAUAUGACAACCACAACUCCUACUACAGCAACAAAUGCCGCUCCUACUACAACAACUACAGAUCCUUCUCCAACUACAACUGCAGGUCCUACUACAACAACCAC